This is a long non-coding RNA of Mesocricetus auratus (golden hamster), 2732 nucleotides long. RefSeq lists it as uncharacterized. The record is from RefSeq and is a predicted model, not a curated record. Lineage: Eukaryota; Metazoa; Chordata; Mammalia; Rodentia; Cricetidae. The transcript is spliced from 4 exons.
AGUUCAUUUUGCAAGGAGCACAGUGUAAGAAGUCACAUCGGAAUUGCUAGUGCUUAUGCUGCUCUGCCAAUGGGGAAAUUGUUUAGGACACAAGCUUGCCAAGAGUCAUACCCAGGAACGCACCACAGAAUCAAGACUAAAGAGUGUUUAUUUCUCUUAACCCUCUCUACUGUCUCCAUACAAAGCCACUCUGGAGAUCCCACUGUGACCAUAUCAUCAGAUGAUCUGUAUGCCCAACACCGUCUCUGAGUUCCUUUUCUCCUCACUCAUCUUGACCAUUUACAGGCUCUCCUUGUGAGUGCAGUUGCCAUGGCAACGAGAUGAUUGCAAGAGAACAAGAGAGACCAUGCCUGUAAUCAGGAAGUGAGAUGUUUACGAAAAAUUCACAUCCUUCUCCUUUUCAUCUCGCUCUGCUAGAAAGAAGAAACUGGGAUACCAGGUCGAUCAUUCUGGUUCCUGGGCACGGAGUGAGAAGAAAUUCAGACAGCGACUAGUCACCUGACUAGAAACACAGAUUUGUAUCUUUUCUUUGUCCUGAUUAGAUUCUAGUUGACUAGCAGCUGGUUCCUGUUCAGAUGACUCCUGUUCUCCAUUUCCUAGCGUUCCCAAACUCCGUAUGGUCCUACAGCUCAAGUUCCCAAACUCCGUAUGGUCCUACAGCUCAGAUCUCUCAUGUGCUCACUCCAUUUGCCUGACUCUUGCAGACAUGUUUAGGAUGAAGUCCCUGCUCCAUCCUAGCGGUACCCAGCUGAGAUAAUGAUCCACUUACCUGGGUGAGUCAGUAGAGUCUAGGUAGUAAUUAUGGAAAAGGAAGGUGAUAUGUCAAUAGGAACUAUAACGUCUUUGAAUGGGUGCUCGGAUUGGUCACUUGUUUAUUCAUUCAACGAUUUCCUCCAGAGGGCUCACCUUGGAUGUCAGCCUAGUGGCGGUGAUUUUGUCAAGAAUACAGUUCUGGUCAUGGGGCUUCCAGCACCUGGUACUCAGCUCUUAUGUUCUUCUAUAUGUGUUACAGUUAAUGAGUAAUUGUGCACGUGAACUGUUGAUCUUGGCAGGGUGGUGCUGUUACCAAAUGCUCACACACCCUUGUCUGUUUACUGACAGGACACACUUUGUUUUGCAAGUGAUUUGUGUGACCUUGUAUAAUGUGCGCAGAUGUUCCUGAGUGUUCUGAUUAUGUUCUAACCCCCAGGCUGAAGCUCAGCUCCUUGACCACGCCGUGCCUCAUAGAUGACCUCUCUGCAUUUGCCUCAUUCCUUGAACCUUAUUUGUCCUGUCCCCAAGCCAUGCUCUUGGCCUUGUCCCUUCACUCUGCUUCAUUCGCACUCUUCUGGCCAGCUACUCACACCUUCCUGGGAGUCUUCCUGACCCUGCUAGGUGUGGCCAGGGGCCUCACUCCUCUCUUCUACUUCCCAUACAAAUCUUUUAUUAGUCUAUCUUAACCACUGUGCUCAAGUCCCUGGAACAGACAGGGACUGGUCUUUCAUUACUGUGUUCUUGGGGCCAAGCAUGUAACAGGAUCCGAGAGAGAGAGACAGAGACAGAGACAGAGAGAGGGAGAGACAGAGAGAGAGACAGAGAGAGAGAGAGAGAGAGACAGAGACAGAGACAGAGAUAGGAGAGAGGAAAGAGAGAGAGAUUGCCAUGUUUAUAAUUGAAGCCCUAGCUGAGCCCAGGACCUGUGAAAACUCACCUCCAUCUUCCACACACCCGGAAGAGCCCAGACUGCUGGCCCAGGCUCCCACCAAAUCUUUUUUCAAUAGGGUCUAGCUUUCUAUUGACAUAUCAUGUUCUGUCCCCACUCUAGUUACUACCCAUACUCCAUUUUCUCAAACUUUCACUGUUUGAAUACAUGCAAAGUCUUCUGCAUCUCAAAUGAAAGCAAUGCCAUCUGUUCAUGAUGUGGAAAUUCCAGAAGACUUCAGAAAACCAAGCAGGUUUUCCUGCAGAGCAGCCCAGACACACCUCCAUGGCACUCUGCUUGGGAGACAGAAGUGGUUAGGAAUGGGCCAAGGGGUGUAUAGUCAUCUGUGAAUUUGUUUAUAAUAUUUGAUUUCAGAAAUUCUAACUGAGCUCUGCCUUCUACCCUUCUUCAAUCACACACAUGGUAGCCACAGUCUCUAGAAAGUCAUGGUUUAAUCCAUUGUCCCAAAUACCCACCAACACUGUGCCGCCUAUUAUACCUGUUGACAAGCACUUGGGGUUCAUACAGAUCACUAAGAAACAAAGUUCACCAUGAAGAUUAGGCAGAGAGGAACUUAAGCUCAAACCUCGGGAACCAUGGGGGAACCCAAGGCAGUAGCAAGAACAAGCCCAAGACAAUGCUCGUGCAUAACGAAGGUGGGCAUUUAGUCUGUUCACAAGCAAAAGCAGCCGGGGCUCUGCAUUAUUUGCCAGAUGUGCUCUUAGGGUUUUGUCAACUUGACAUAAACCUAGAUAUAUCUGGGAAGAGGGAAACUUAAUUGAGAGAAUGCUUCCAUAGGAGUCACCUGCGGGGGGUUGUAUUGAUUAAUGACUGGUGUGGGAGGGCCUAGCCCACUGUGGGUGGCGCCACCCCUGGGCAGGUGGUGUUGGAUGGCUGAGCAAGCCAGGAGCAGCAAGUCAGUCAACAGCACUCCUCCAGGGCUACCCCCCAGUUCUUAAGUCCAGGUUGCUGCACUAAGCUCCUGCUGUGGCUUGCCUCAAUGACACUUAUAAGCUGUAAAGUGAAAUAAAGUGUUUCCUCCCAAAUAAAA